RNAcentral lists this ribosomal RNA (523 nucleotides) under uncultured bacterium. RNAcentral's name for it is "partial 16S ribosomal RNA". It matches the Rfam family "Bacterial small subunit ribosomal RNA", at positions 28 to 523 of the family's 1533-position model. The record is from RNAcentral.
GACGAACGCUGGCGGCGUGCCUAAUACAUGCAAGUCGAACGCUUUUUCUUUCACCGGAUCUUGCUCCACCGAAAGAAAAAGAGUGGCGAACGCGUGAGUAACACGUGGGUAACCUGCCCAUCAGACGGGGAUAACACUUGGGAACAGGUGCUAAUACCGUAUAACACUAUUUUCCGCAUGGAAGAAAGUUGAAACGCGCGCUUGCUUCACUGAUGGAUGGCCCCCCGGUGAAUUAGCUAGUUGGUGCGGUAACGGCUCACCAAGGCAACGAUGCAUAGCCGACCUGAGAGGGUGAUCGGCCACACUGGGACUGAGACACGGCCCAGACUCCUACGGGAGGCAGCAGUAGGGAAUCUUCGGCAAUGGACGAAAGUCUGACCGAGCAACGCCGCGUGAGUGAAGAAGGUUUUCGGAUCGUAAAACUCUGUUGUUAGAGAAGAAUAAGGAUGAGAGUAAAACGUUCAUCCCUUGACGGUAUCUAACCAGAAAGCCACGGCUAACUACGUGCCAGCAGCCGCCGUAA